AGUUCGGACUCUGGAGAGCGGCAGUAGCCACGUGCGCGAGCAUCGGCAGGCUGCCCACCGAAGGGGCGCGCGCAGGCCGGCAACGGCGGCGCAAUCUCUCAGGUAUCGAGGACAGAGGGGCUGCA
RNAcentral lists this non-coding RNA (125 nucleotides) under Burkholderia glumae. RNAcentral's name for it is "Glycine sequence". It matches the Rfam family "Glycine riboswitch aptamer". Rfam says of the family: This family represents the bacterial glycine riboswitch. Glycine riboswitches usually consist of two metabolite-binding aptamers domains with similar structures in tandem. The aptamers cooperatively bind glycine to regulate the expression of downstream genes. Lineage: Bacteria; Pseudomonadati; Pseudomonadota; Betaproteobacteria; Burkholderiales; Burkholderiaceae. The record is from RNAcentral.